Long non-coding RNA from Papaver somniferum (opium poppy), 1999 nucleotides. RefSeq lists it as uncharacterized. NCBI's taxonomy places the organism in Eukaryota, Viridiplantae, Streptophyta, Magnoliopsida, Ranunculales, Papaveraceae. The transcript has 8 exons. The record is from RefSeq and is a predicted model, not a curated record.
UUAAAUAUUUGUAGAGUUUUAAUGGGUUUGUGGUAAAGUUCAUUUGUAUUGUGUUUUUUUCGAUUGCUUGAAGAGUUAGAGUUCUUCAAUUUUCUUAAAGAAUUUUAUGUCUUAUCCAAUUGUUAUUGUUCUUCACUGAGAUGAAUUUACGAGAUUGAGGUGGAGUUAGAGUUAAUAUCAGAUAUGAAAAGAUGGGCUUUCAUCUGAUUUGAGUUUGCAUAAAAGUCAUGAGAUAUUUGGUGAGCAUUUGAACAGAAAAAACUCACAUCAAGAGUUUGCAAAUUCUGAGUUUAGAAAGCUAUUUACAUAACGUUCAACCGAUGAUGUGACAACGGUAUGGGAGUUCUUGAAAUAUGGGGUAAUUACUUACUGAACUUUGACUUUGUAUUGGCUACUAGUCAAUUGAAAUGCUCAUUAUGAUUUUCAAGAUUGGAGCUUUUUUUCUUACUUAGUUUUGGUUACCCUUGAGAUAUCAUUUUAGGAAAUUGAAGAAGUAUUUCCUCUUCCAAAUGAAAACUCUAAUGUCAGGGUUGUCGUUGGAUGGGAACAUUGUAUUGCAGUCUCAGGUAACAUAUGAUUGUAGUUGUUGAAUUUGAUUGUUUGUUAAGUAUCAAAGAUGUAAAAGCAGGUAGCUUCAGUUGUAUUUUUAUGUAUAAUGAAUGGAGAAGUAUACACAUGGGGCUUAAGUAGGUGAUUUCCAAUAUUAUGUGUACAUUUCAACUUUGAACUCUAUAACGAACAAGUUAUAUUCGAUUAUACUCACAAAAUUCCUAAUGUACCCUUAUACUCUUAUCAGCUUAUAUUAGUUUAUGUUUUGAUGUGUUCUUUGUAGCUAUAAGAUUUGUUGCCUGACAAUGAUCUGCCAAAAGUGCGCAUGAGGUCAGCAGACUCUUUUGUAAAACUUGUGCGGGAGAAAGUUAAAAAUCCAGUGGACUUCUCCAAAGUCCUGAAAGUGGGAAUUCAGCAUAGGGGCAGACACAUCAAAAUUCAAUGUCUCUCAUUUACUUGGCAGGAAGUGAAGGUUUGCUCGUGGAAGAUGCUACUGGAGAGCAUAUUACAGACUUGUUUCAUGUGACGAAAUCGCUAUCUGCUUUGGGUGAUGUCUUGUCUUCGUUGACCUCGAAGAAGGAGAUGAUACCUUAUGAAAACUCUAGACUUACAAGACUACUCGAAGAUUCAAUAGGAGGAAGCUCAAAAACAUUGUUGAUCGUAAAUUUCUGUCCCAAUACUUCUAUUCUGGCCAAGACACUGUCAGCUCUUACUUUCUCUGCAAGAGAUCGGAGUGUUGAGCUAAAUAUUGGGAAUCGAGAAACAAUUAAGAAAUGGAGAGAAGCAGUUGUAUGAAAAGGAGAAAGAAGUUCAAGAUUUGAAGCUUAGAGUCUAUGGGACUAAAGCAUGAGCUUAAAGGUGCAAAUGAGCAAUGUAUUCUUCUUUUCAAUGAAGUACAGAAGGCCUAGAAAGUUUCCUCUACAUUGCAGGCAGAUCUAAAGUCAGAAAAUUUGAUGUUGUCUGAAAAGCAUAAGAUUGAGAAGGAUCAAAACACACAACUCAGAAAUCAAGUUGCCCAUAUUUUGCAACUGGAGGAAGACCAGAAAAUUCAGAUACAAGAACGUGAUUCGACAAUUCAGGUGCUCCUUAAUAUACGGCUUCACAUAUGCAAACGCGACCGUAGAGAACAGGAGUUGGUGCUCCUUAGGUAACUUGAAGAAACUCCAAGAUCUCAAAACCCAGAGAAGAAGAAGAAAAAUUCUUAGAGAAAGAUGUGGAAACCAAUUUGUUUCACGUUGGCAGCAACAGUAGGGGAUAAUAUUGGGAAAGUUUUGCAGAAGAAAGGAACUGUUAUUCUUCCUCUUCUUUCAUUGAAGCUCAAGGUAUCUUCUUUUGUAAUUUGUUGACAUGGAUUUGUGAUUUACAAUAACGAGUUCCUGUUGAAUUUCUGUUUUAUCAUUAGAAUGGGUACUUGAAUCAAUUUCUAAAUCUUAGGCGAUGUUUUUUCUUA